Molecule: long non-coding RNA, 586 nt
Organism: Diospyros lotus (date-plum)
Lineage: Eukaryota; Viridiplantae; Streptophyta; Magnoliopsida; Ericales; Ebenaceae
Exons: 3
Source: RefSeq, a predicted model, not a curated record
UCUAAAAAAUGCAACAUACUUUAUUUUCUUUAUAGUAAUGGUUGUAGAAAAAUUGUUAAAGGAAGAUGAAUUUGAGACUUUUUUUCAGAUGAUUUCUCUCAUUUUUUCUCUCUUUUUCAUGUCUUUAUAUAGCCAAGAUUAUCAACAGUCAAUUGCACUGGUGGGUGGUAGAGGGAAACGGUAGCUGACUUGCCCAUACUUGCUGCUGACAGAUCAUGAUUUUUUUAUUGAGAUAAACGAGUUCAUGAGUUAAAGAUUAAUCUGCAACAAUCAAGGAAAGGAAAGAAGGAAUUUUAUAGCAUCUAAUAGUUCCAAGUACGCCACAACAAAAUAGUGUAGUCGAGCGGAUGAACAAAACCUUGAUGGAAAAGGUCAAGUCUGACUCUACCACUGCCUGCAACAUUGAUGGCGCUUUUUCUACCAUCAUCACAUGUUCAUAUAUAUAUAUAUAUGUUUGAAGGAGCUAGCGCGGCUACGCACAUGGGAUGGAGGAACGUUAUGCUAUUGAAGGAUUGGUCAAAUAAAUAUUUUAAUUUUUGUAUUUGUAUGUUUUUUAUUUAAAUAUUUAAUAUUUUUUAUUAUUAUU